This 403-nucleotide ribosomal RNA is filed under the name Dolichomiris linearis. RNAcentral describes it as "partial large subunit ribosomal RNA". The record is from RNAcentral. Lineage: Eukaryota; Metazoa; Arthropoda; Insecta; Hemiptera; Miridae.
UGCAGUAUUUUGACUGUACAAAGGUAGCAUAAUCAUUUGUCUUUUAAUUGAAGGCUAGAAUGAAUGGUUGGAUGAAAAAUAUUCUUUCUUAUUUUUAUAUAAAAAAAUUGAUUUUCUAGUUAAAAAGCUAGAAUAUUUUUAUAGGACGAGAAGACCCUAUAGAAUUUUAUUUUCAUUUUAUAUAAUAGUUUUAGAUUUUUAUAUUAUUAUAUAUUUUUGUCAAUUUUGUUGGGGUGACAAAAAAAAUACAAUAACUUUUUUUAUAAGAAUACAUUUAUUAAUGUUUAAUUGAUCUUAUAUUAUGGAUUAUAAGAUUAAAUUACCUUAGGGAUAACAGCGUUAUUUUUCCGGAGAGUACAUAUUAAUGGAAAAGUUUGCGACCUCGAUGUUGGAUUAAAAUAAG